GGGUCAGUAGGUUGGUCGUGCCACCGGUACGUACUGGUCUCACUGACUCCUCCUUCCUGAAGAACCGUGAUGCCAUUAAUUUGGUGUUGCGGGGAAACAGGACUGUUACUUUGAAAAAAUUAGAGUGUUUAAAGCAAGCUAACGCUUGAAUACAUUAGCAUGGAAUAGUGAAAUAGGACGAUCGAUCCUAUUUUGUUGGUUUCUAGGAUUGACGUA
RNAcentral lists this ribosomal RNA (216 nucleotides) under Glomeromycotina sp. Its description in RNAcentral is "partial small subunit ribosomal RNA". The stretch from base 75 to 216 matches the Rfam family "Eukaryotic small subunit ribosomal RNA", at positions 721 to 864 of the family's 1831-position model. Lineage: Eukaryota; Fungi; Glomeromycota. The record is from RNAcentral.